AGGCAACGCCUGCCCAGUGAACAAUUAAACGGCCGCGGUACCCUAACCGUGCAAAGGUAGCGAAAUCAUUUGUCUAUUAAUUGUAGACCUGUAUGAAAGGCAUAAUGAGGGCCUAACUGUCUCUUAUAAUAAAUCAAUUAAACUGAUCUCCUAGUACAAAAGCUAGAAUACCUACAUAAGACCAGAAGACCCUGUGAAGCUUUAACUAACCUAUUAAAUCUAAUAAUAACUACUUUCGGUUGGGGCGACCUUGGAAAAAAAAGAAACUUCCAAACUANUGACUAAAACUCACAAAANNNGGCCAACAAGCCNAACAANCGACCCAGCACAGCUGAUAAUUGAACCAAGUUACUCCAGGGAUAACAGCGCUAUCUUCUUCAAGAGCCCAUAUCAAAAAGAAGGUUUACGACCUCGAUGUUGGAUCAGGACAUCCUAAUGGUGCAGCAGCUAUUAAG
Molecule: ribosomal RNA, 455 nt
Filed under: Hypsiscopus plumbea (rice paddy snake)
Lineage: Eukaryota; Metazoa; Chordata; Lepidosauria; Squamata; Homalopsidae
Description: partial 16S ribosomal RNA
Rfam family: Bacterial large subunit ribosomal RNA
Source: RNAcentral